Non-coding RNA from Picea glauca (white spruce), 103 nucleotides. The record is from Rfam. NCBI's taxonomy places the organism in Eukaryota, Viridiplantae, Streptophyta, Pinopsida, Pinales, Pinaceae.
GUCUCUUCGGAGACAUCCGAUAAAAUUGGAACGAUACAGAGAAGAUUAGCAUGGCCCUUGCGCAAGGAUGACACGCACAAAUCGAGAAAUGGUCCAAAAAAAU